This 360-nucleotide ribosomal RNA is filed under the name Nocardioidaceae bacterium. RNAcentral describes it as "bacterial SSU rRNA". It matches the Rfam family "Bacterial small subunit ribosomal RNA", at positions 1 to 361 of the family's 1533-position model. The record is from RNAcentral. Lineage: Bacteria; Bacillati; Actinomycetota; Actinomycetes; Propionibacteriales; Nocardioidaceae.
UUCAACGGAGAGUUUGAUCCUGGCUCAGGACGAACGCUGGCGGCGUGCUUAACACAUGCAAGUCGAGCGGUAAGGCUCCUUCGGGAGUACACGAGCGGCGAACGGGUGAGUAACACGUGAGCAAUCUGCCCUUCACUUCGGGAUAACCCUCGGAAACGAGAGCUAAUACCGAAUACGACCACCUCAGGCAUCUGAUGGUGGUGGAAAGUUCCGGCGGUGAAGGAUGAGCUCGCGGCCUAUCAGCUUGUUGGUGGGGUAACGGCCCACCAAGGCAACGACGGGUAGCCGGCCUGAGAGGGUGACCGGCCACACUGGGACUGAGACACGGCCCAGACUCCUACGGGAGGCAGCAGUGGGGAA